This 380-nucleotide long non-coding RNA is filed under the name Setaria viridis. RNAcentral's name for it is "long non-coding RNA (SVIR_LNC009579)". The record is from RNAcentral. Lineage: Eukaryota; Viridiplantae; Streptophyta; Magnoliopsida; Poales; Poaceae.
GAGAGAAUUUUGAAAGAAAUAAAAAUAAAAGGUUUAGAAAACUCUAACUAGAAAAAUUGGAUUUUCAAUAUGGAUAAACCAAAAGAGAUUUUCAUCCUAAUUUUACACGAGACGUGCAUGCAUAUUCUAUGCAGAAAUAAAUCAUAAAAAAUAUUACGCAUGCUCUACUCAAAGAUGGUCAAGCUUGCAUUCUCCUCUGAGCUGUGCAAGUGGCUUCUCAUCUCUAGGUUCUCCAUUCUUCUCAUCAUUAGGUCAACCUUGGCCUCCAUGUUUGCAUUCUUCUUCACCGUUCUUCGCUGCUGCAUUUUCUUCAUUGAAUUACUCUACGUUCAGAAAAGAACAUGUACAAAACUUUUUAUUUUAUGCAUAGUUUAUCAAAU